Molecule: ribosomal RNA, 543 nt
Filed under: Triticum aestivum (bread wheat)
Lineage: Eukaryota; Viridiplantae; Streptophyta; Magnoliopsida; Poales; Poaceae
Description: partial small subunit ribosomal RNA
Source: RNAcentral
AUGCGGGCACCGGUGUUGCGUAGCAGUAGGGCGCCGCCGUCGAAUUUUUCAAGGAGAUGCGGCCCCUUCCCCGUCCAACUGCGACCAUGGCGUUGUCCAACCUCGUCUGUGCGCGCAGUCCAUCCUUGUUCACUCGCUCGCCAGCAGAGAUCAUUUAUUUUCAGGCCAUCCCCGUCCAGCCCUCCUGUGGUAGGAAGGUCGAGCCCAUCGCAAGCUGUAGUCCACGAUAGUCACCCGGUCCUGCCUCCUUCAUCCUUCCCCACCUCGCCCUCUGCCUCGACCAGCCGGUUGGACAUCUUGUCAAGCUCGAGAACCUGUAUUGCAGAGCUAGCUAAUGGUUCUUCUUUUCCUACCCCCACAGCUUCCCUUUCAGCCAUUGAAGCUACAGAUGGAGCCCGCAAUGCAGCAGCAUCACCCCAACGACCAUGGGACGGUCGACGAUGGCUGCGUGUGGUGUGCGUCUCUCCGACGUGCUCGGCGUGCUGCCGAGGGGGCUGCAGUUUGAAGUGGCUGGGUAAUGAAGUUCAGAGAAUGCUUUUUUAG